This 272-nucleotide ribosomal RNA is filed under the name Blastocystis hominis. RNAcentral describes it as "partial small subunit ribosomal RNA". It matches the Rfam family "Eukaryotic small subunit ribosomal RNA", at positions 42 to 333 of the family's 1831-position model. The record is from RNAcentral. Lineage: Eukaryota; Bigyra; Opalinata; Blastocystidae.
GAUUAAGCCAUGCAUGUGUAAGUAUAAAUAGUUAACUUUGAAACUGAGAAUGGCUCAUUAUAUCAGUUAUAGUUUAUUUGAUGAAGAAUACUAAUUGGAUAACCGUAGUAAUUCUAGAGCUAAUACAUGUAUAAAGUCUUGUAGACUGCAUUUAUUAGAAUGAAAACCAUAGGUUUCGGCCUAUUCGUGAGUAAUAAUAACUAAUCAUAUGCGUAUGCUUAUGUAACGAUGUGUCUUUCAAGUUUCUGCCCUAUCAGCUUUCGAUGGUAGUG